UUCACAACACAGUAUCAUAUCUCUUGUGAUUUACAAACUCUCACUCUUCAUUAUCAAUCAGUGUUUUCUAACAAGAACCCUAAAUCAGAAAUCCUUAAUUUCUUAGAGAUUAGGGGGGGAUAUAUAUUAAUAUCCUGGAGUAACAUGGAGAGUUUCAGGUGACUGGUAGUUUGAGAAAAAAGCGAACAAAUCCAAGUGAAGCACUGGUACUGUCCACUACACCGGAG
Molecule: long non-coding RNA, 227 nt
Filed under: Trifolium pratense (red clover)
Lineage: Eukaryota; Viridiplantae; Streptophyta; Magnoliopsida; Fabales; Fabaceae
Description: long non-coding RNA (TPRA_LNC013620)
Source: RNAcentral